GAACUAAACAGGAUUUCCUCAGUAAUGGCGAAUGAACAGGGAUGAGCUCAACAUGGAAAUUGUGGCUUCUGGCUUUGAAUUGUAAUCUCAAGAUGUAUUGCUAAUGGGGGCGCAGGUGUAAACCUCUUGGAAAAGAGAAUCAGUGAAGGUGAGAAUCCUGUUUGUCACCUGCAGUCCUUCAUGUACAGCAUGCGAUCUACGAGUCACGUUCCUCGGGAUUGGAGCGCAAACUGGGUGGUAAAUUUCAUCUCAAGCUAAAUAUGGGUUCGAAACCGAUAGCAAACAAGUACCAUGAGGGAAAGAUGAAAAGGACUUUGAAAAGAGAGUUAAAAGUGCCUGAAAUUGCUGAAAGGAAAGCGGAUGGAACCAGUGUUGCUUGGUGAGAUUGUUGUGUGCUUCAGUGAUAGCCUGCAGUUUCAACGCAAGUGUUGCUGUGGGUUCUGAUCUGGCUGUGCGCGAUGCUUCUUGCCUUGUGUGUCAUCGUCGGUUUGAGGGUGAGGACAACUCUUGGAGGAUGGUAGUUUGCCCCUGGGUGAACGAAUGUUCCUUGUAGAACUCACCCUUAGACUGAAACUUUACUGUGAGGUUGUGAUGUCUUUGCUUCCUUCUGUGCAGCUUCUGCAUGGAUCCAAGGGCGCAGGACACCUUCCUGACACAAGCAUGGUGACAGAAUGGUUCUAUUCGACCCGUCUUGAAACACGGACCAAGGAGUCUAACAUAUGUGCAAGUUCAUGGGUGGUGAAACCUGCGUGCGCAAUGAAAGUGAGUACUGAGAUGCUAGCAUCAGCAGCCGACCAAUCAACUGGGAGAGGUUUGAGCAUGAGCAUAUCUGUUAGGACCCGAAAGAUGGUGAACUAUGCCUGAGAAGGGCAAAGUCUGGGGAAACUCAGAUGGAGGCU
RNAcentral lists this ribosomal RNA (899 nucleotides) under Gyrodiniellum shiwhaense. Its description in RNAcentral is "eukaryotic LSU rRNA". It matches the Rfam family "Eukaryotic large subunit ribosomal RNA", at positions 56 to 875 of the family's 3401-position model. The record is from RNAcentral. Lineage: Eukaryota; Dinophyceae; Gymnodiniales; Gymnodiniaceae.